UGGAGAGUUUGAUCCUGGCUCAGGACGAACGCUGGCGGCGUGCUUAACACAUGCAAGUCGAGCGGUAAGGCCUUUCGGGGUACACGAGCGGCGAACGGGUGAGUAACACGUGGGUGAUCUGCCCUGCACUUCGGGAUAAGCCUGGGAAACUGGGUCUAAUACCGGAUAUGACCUCAGGUUGCAUGACUUGGGGUGGAAAGAUUUAUCGGUGCAGGAUGGGCCCGCGGCCUAUCAGCUUGUUGGUGGGGUAAUGGCCUACCAAGGCGACGACGGGUAGCCGACCUGAGAGGGUGACCGGCCACACUGGGACUGAGACACGGCCCAGACUCCUACGGGAGGCAGCAGUGGGGAAUAUUGCACAAUGGGCGAAAGCCUGAUGCAGCGACGCCGCGUGAGGGAUGACGGCCUUCGGGUUGUAAACCUCUUUCAGCAGGGACGAAGCGCAAGUGACGGUACCUGCAGAAGAAGCACCGGCUAACUACGUGCCAGCAGCCGCGGUA
This 500-nucleotide ribosomal RNA is filed under the name Rhodococcus erythropolis. RNAcentral's name for it is "bacterial SSU rRNA". It matches the Rfam family "Bacterial small subunit ribosomal RNA", at positions 1 to 522 of the family's 1533-position model. The record is from RNAcentral. Lineage: Bacteria; Bacillati; Actinomycetota; Actinomycetes; Mycobacteriales; Nocardiaceae.